UGUAUUUAUGAUGAAUAAUAUCAGUUAUCCCUGUCAGACAUUUUUAUGUUGAUAACUUGUGGUAUAUCUGAAAAUAUU
Metopolophium dirhodum (rose-grain aphid) is the source of this 78-nucleotide small nucleolar RNA. RefSeq annotates it as small nucleolar RNA R38. Lineage: Eukaryota; Metazoa; Arthropoda; Insecta; Hemiptera; Aphididae. The record is from RefSeq and is a predicted model, not a curated record. The transcript has a single exon.